UUGAUGUUGGGUAAUAUUGACCUCUUUUGCUCAUCUGGACAUAUCCCUAGAUACCAAAUGUGUAGCAAGGCACUUCUCCACCCCUUAAACUAUCUGCAUCCAGCUCUGGAACUGUACCUCCCAUUCCAUGCAUUUUAGUGACCGCUACAUAUUUUUUUUUGGAGGGCCUGUACUACACAUUUGUGGUGGAAUACAGUGAUCCUAUUGAUUUGUCAAUCGCAAAAAUCCUGUUUAUUUUCACAGAGCCAGGAUUUCACCCUUGGUGGCUAAGAUAGGAGCACACCUUGAGCUGAGCUAAGAUGCCAUGCUCUAGCUCUAGGCAGGGUGAUUGUAUUGUGUGCUGGAACUUGCCAUCUCCACAAUCUACAUGUCCAUAUUAUGAAUGAAGUUGGUUGCAAGCUGUUCCAUUUUAUGCUGGUUUUGGGCAGCCUGGCAAAUUGUCAAUGUACCUCCCUCAGGUGGGCAGUUUUUUAGGUGCCUUUGUAUUAACCAACAGAGCCUUUCCCAUGCAAAUAUCACCCUUUUUAUAGACCCAGUUCCUUAUGUUCUUGUAAAAAUGAUUCAAAUAUAUCUCUUUCCCCUGGCCCUCAGGAUUGAAAUGAGAGAGAGAUGCUGAAGUCUAGUGAGUUUUAUUGUCUGAAAAAGAAAUAAAUAAAAUCAAAUAAUCUCACAGUCCACUGGAGGGCUAUAGUGAGUGCUGGAAAGGAUUUGUACUGCUUGCUGAGAGCGUAAUGAAGAAAGUGACUGUGGCAGAGAAAACAGCCCAUUCACUUUUUUUUAUCUGGAAGGGCAACAUUUUACAUCCCCCGAGUUAGGAAUUAUGGGGUCGUCAGCUAGAAGUACUGUUUGAUCUCCCUAUAUAAGGUGAAGGGAAUUUGUGAGAGAGAGAUUGUUGCAGGUACUGUAUUUUGAAAGGUGGCACCGAUAAGAACAGUGUCUCAGCAGCAGGUAGUUGAGAGUAUUUUGUGUAUUCUGUCUUUUGCUUUUAAAAUAUUUUUAAACCAGAGAAGUGUGUGGGUGUUGGUAGGAGAUGGUUUGGUGAGAGAGACAGAUACAAUGUCAGGGACAUUUAAAAGAGAGACUGCAAAUGGUGCUGUGCACUAGCAUCUGACUGAGAGACAGAAGCCUCCAGGGAGAAGAAAGGAAGGAAGAAGGGCCUAAAAGGGUUAUCUGGGAAGUGGUGGCUCAAAAUGGGUCCACCACAACCACUACUGCUAAUACUCAGGGGAAUGGUCUUUCCUCCCUUUAGAUAACGGGGUUGGAAGCUCUACUGUCAGCUCUUUGUGUUAUGAUUCUCUGAUAGCCCCAGUCGCCUCCAUGCUGGGCCUACCAUAUACACUGCCGUCCUGGCAUUGAGGUGUCUCAAAUGAGAAUCUAUGAGGCAUAACACAGUAGCUUGCUGCCUUCAAACACAACGGGCAACAGAGGACAACGAGAGCCGGCUCCCUCCUCCAGCCAAUGUCCUCACCUUUUUUGCUUUCUCAAUCCAGUCUUGUCCAUUGGAAUGCCCUGGACCCCAAAUUGAUCUGUGUAUCUUAGUUCUGAUGAACACUGAGUCCCCUUCUUAACAUAAUCAAUGCCACUCCUUGGUGGGGCCUUGGGGAUCUCCAAGUCCUAGAGCCUCCUGGGAAAUGUCUCUAUAGCCUUAUAGAUCAGUCCAGGCAUGCCGUGGAGACACUUUUACAGUAGAACCGCCAUCCUGGAACUCUGCUGACCAUCCUCACUUCCCUGCUUUCCCUGCUUCAGUUACCUGCUCGCGGUCUGCUGCACUAUCCUGCUUCAUCACCUCAUGGGGGAUCAUCAGAUAGGGAACUGAAGCACAGAGAGACUGUGAUUUGCCCAAAGUCAGGUGCAAAAGUCAGGAAUUGGACCCAAGAGCUUCCGAGUGCCAAUCACAAGACCAUCCUUCAUCAGCUCCCUAUACUGCCUAGACCAAGUGAGGGACUUAAGGACCUCUUGGAGGAGCACUCUUCUCUCUUUCUGAUGUCGACAUGGUCCCCCAUGGCUUUCUACCCUGCUGGUGUAAUUCAGGCAGAGCACACAAUGCAAUGCUGCUGAUUGGAGGGGUUGAUGAA
Gopherus flavomarginatus (Mexican gopher tortoise) is the source of this 2075-nucleotide long non-coding RNA. RefSeq lists it as uncharacterized. Lineage: Eukaryota; Metazoa; Chordata; Testudines; Testudinidae. The transcript has 3 exons. The record is from RefSeq and is a predicted model, not a curated record.